CUUGAGUCCACGUUGCCGAUCUAAGUAGUAGUGCCGCAGGUACUGAUUUUUAAGUGAUACCUGUACACGGCUACUUACAUUGGCAACGAGCUGGAAAAUCA
Non-coding RNA from Strongylocentrotus purpuratus (purple sea urchin), 101 nucleotides. RefSeq annotates it as microRNA mir-252b. The record is from RefSeq and is marked provisional. The transcript has a single exon. NCBI's taxonomy places the organism in Eukaryota, Metazoa, Echinodermata, Echinoidea, Camarodonta, Strongylocentrotidae.